RNAcentral lists this ribosomal RNA (253 nucleotides) under uncultured bacterium. RNAcentral describes it as "partial 16S ribosomal RNA". It matches the Rfam family "Bacterial small subunit ribosomal RNA", at positions 524 to 776 of the family's 1533-position model. The record is from RNAcentral.
UACGAAGGGGGCUAGCGUUGCUCGGAAUUACUGGGCGUAAAGCGCACGUAGGCGGCUCUUUAAGUCGGAGGUGAAAUCCUGGAGCUCAACUCCAGAACUGCCUUCGAUACUGUAGAGCUUGAGUUCGGGAGAGGUGAGUGGAACUGCGAGUGUAGAGGUGAAAUUCGUAGAUAUCGGGAGGAACACCAGUGGCGAAGGCGGCGAUCUGGGUAGAUACUGACGCUGAGGUGCGAAAGCGUGGGGAGCAAACAGG